This 1916-nucleotide ribosomal RNA is filed under the name Escherichia coli. RNAcentral describes it as "partial 23S ribosomal RNA". It matches the Rfam family "Bacterial large subunit ribosomal RNA", at positions 323 to 2227 of the family's 2925-position model. The record is from RNAcentral. Lineage: Bacteria; Pseudomonadati; Pseudomonadota; Gammaproteobacteria; Enterobacterales; Enterobacteriaceae.
UGUGUGUUAGUGGAAGCGUCUGGAAAGGCGCGCGAUACAGGGUGACAGCCCCGUACACAAAAAUGCACAUGCUGUGAGCUCGAUGAGUAGGGCGGGACACGUGGUAUCCUGUCUGAAUAUGGGGGGACCAUCCUCCAAGGCUAAAUACUCCUGACUGACCGAUAGUGAACCAGUACCGUGAGGGAAAGGCGAAAAGAACCCCGGCGAGGGGAGUGAAAAAGAACCUGAAACCGUGUACGUACAAGCAGUGGGAGCACGCUUAGGCGUGUGACUGCGUACCUUUUGUAUAAUGGGUCAGCGACUUAUAUUCUGUAGCAAGGUUAACCGAAUAGGGGAGCCGAAGGGAAACCGAGUCUUAACUGGGCGUUAAGUUGCAGGGUAUAGACCCGAAACCCGGUGAUCUAGCCAUGGGCAGGUUGAAGGUUGGGUAACACUAACUGGAGGACCGAACCGACUAAUGUUGAAAAAUUAGCGGAUGACUUGUGGCUGGGGGUGAAAGGCCAAUCAAACCGGGAGAUAGCUGGUUCUCCCCGAAAGCUAUUUAGGUAGCGCCUCGUGAAUUCAUCUCCGGGGGUAGAGCACUGUUUCGGCAAGGGGGUCAUCCCGACUUACCAACCCGAUGCAAACUGCGAAUACCGGAGAAUGUUAUCACGGGAGACACACGGCGGGUGCUAACGUCCGUCGUGAAGAGGGAAACAACCCAGACCGCCAGCUAAGGUCCCAAAGUCAUGGUUAAGUGGGAAACGAUGUGGGAAGGCCCAGACAGCCAGGAUGUUGGCUUAGAAGCAGCCAUCAUUUAAAGAAAGCGUAAUAGCUCACUGGUCGAGUCGGCCUGCGCGGAAGAUGUAACGGGGCUAAACCAUGCACCGAAGCUGCGGCAGCGACGCUUAUGCGUUGUUGGGUAGGGGAGCGUUCUGUAAGCCUGUGAAGGUGUGCUGUGAGGCAUGCUGGAGGUAUCAGAAGUGCGAAUGCUGACAUAAGUAACGAUAAAGCGGGUGAAAAGCCCGCUCGCCGGAAGACCAAGGGUUCCUGUCCAACGUUAAUCGGGGCAGGGUGAGUCGACCCCUAAGGCGAGGCCGAAAGGCGUAGUCGAUGGGAAACAGGUUAAUAUUCCUGUACUUGGUGUUACUGCGAAGGGGGGACGGAGAAGGCUAUGUUGGCCGGGCGACGGUUGUCCCGGUUUAAGCGUGUAGGCUGGUUUUCCAGGCAAAUCCGGAAAAUCAAGGCUGAGGCGUGAUGACGAGGCACUACGGUGCUGAAGCAACAAAUGCCCUGCUUCCAGGAAAAGCCUCUAAGCAUCAGGUAACAUCAAAUCGUACCCCAAACCGACACAGGUGGUCAGGUAGAGAAUACCAAGGCGCUUGAGAGAACUCGGGUGAAGGAACUAGGCAAAAUGGUGCCGUAACUUCGGGAGAAGGCACGCUGAUAUGUAGGUGAAGUCCCUCGCGGAUGGAGCUGAAAUCAGUCGAAGAUACCAGCUGGCUGCAACUGUUUAUUAAAAACACAGCACUGUGCAAACACGAAAGUGGACGUAUACGGUGUGACGCCUGCCCGGUGCCGGAAGGUUAAUUGAUGGGGUCAGCGCAAGCGAAGCUCUUGAUCGAAGCCCCGGUAAACGGCGGCCGUAACUAUAACGGUCCUAAGGUAGCGAAAUUCCUUGUCGGGUAAGUUCCGACCUGCACGAAUGGCGUAAUGAUGGCCAGGCUGUCUCCACCCGAGACUCAGUGAAAUUGAACUCGCUGUGAAGAUGCAGUGUACCCGCGGCAAGACGGAAAGACCCCGUGAACCUUUACUAUAGCUUGACACUGAACAUUGAGCCUUGAUGUGUAGGAUAGGUGGGAGGCUUAGAAGUGUGGACGCCAGUCUGCAUGGAGCCGACCUUGAAAUACCACCCUUUAAUGUUUGAUGUUCUAACG